This 405-nucleotide long non-coding RNA is filed under the name Macaca mulatta (Rhesus monkey). Its description in RNAcentral is "lncRNA (ENSMMUG00000064396.1)". The record is from RNAcentral. Lineage: Eukaryota; Metazoa; Chordata; Mammalia; Primates; Cercopithecidae.
GUCAGUCCCUUUGUAAAAACAUGAUUUGGAGAGAGUGGUAUAAACACAUAAAAAACACAAGCAUUUCAAUAUUGGUUAUUUUCCUCUUUAUUUUGAUUUUAUUUUGAGGAGGCUGGAGAAUGAAAUAACGUCUUCGGAAACAGCUUAAACAAGUCAGUUCAAGACAAUCUCUGGCUCUUUCUGAAGGCAACAUUAUAAGGCUUCAAAAAUAGCACAGUGAGCCAAGAGAAACUGCAAAGACACCGCUGUGGGAUGGUGAUUUGGAUAUAAAAUUCUCUGAGCCAGGGUGUGAUAAGCUGUUGGACCAUCUUAGACAACCAUCUAGACCCUGGAGCCAUUGUAGUUUGGAUCGAAGAUCAAAAACUCUCAAGCAUUUCAACUCAUGCAGUGAACAUCUGAAGGGAU